GACUCUCAAUAAUGGAUAUCUUGGCUCUCGCAUCGAUGAAGAACGUAGCAGAAUGUGAUACUUGGUGUGAAUUGUUGAAUCCCAUGAACCAUCGAGUCUUUGAACGCAAGUUGCACCCCAAGCCAUUAGGCCAAGGACACAUCUACCUGGGUGUCA
Molecule: ribosomal RNA, 156 nt
Organism: Hibiscus syriacus
Lineage: Eukaryota; Viridiplantae; Streptophyta; Magnoliopsida; Malvales; Malvaceae
Product: 5.8S ribosomal RNA
Exons: 1
Source: RefSeq, a predicted model, not a curated record